This 188-nucleotide small nuclear RNA is filed under the name Lepeophtheirus salmonis (salmon louse). Its description in RNAcentral is "U2 spliceosomal RNA". It matches the Rfam family "U2 spliceosomal RNA". From Rfam's summary of the family: U2 is a small nuclear RNA (snRNA) component of the spliceosome (involved in pre-mRNA splicing). Complementary binding between U2 snRNA (in an area lying towards the 5' end but 3' to hairpin I) and the branchpoint sequence (BPS) of the intron results the bulging out of an unpaired adenosine, on the BPS, which initiates a nucleophilic attack at the intronic 5' splice site, thus starting the first of two transesterification reactions that mediate splicing. The record is from RNAcentral. Lineage: Eukaryota; Metazoa; Arthropoda; Copepoda; Siphonostomatoida; Caligidae.
AUUUUUUCUCGGCAUUUUGGCUAAGAUCAAAGUGUAGUAUCUGUUCUUAUCAGCUAUCUGAUAUGAGGACCAUGUGUCCUCUUCGAUAAUAAACUUGUUUCUGUUUAGGGGUAGAUGUGCGGCGCUUACACUGUCUUCACUACGAGUUUACUUGGAAUUGCAUGGGAGAUUAAGAGAACUACGAAUGC